AACGAACGCUGGCGGCAUGCCUAACACAUGCAAGUCGAACGAGACCUUCGGGUCUAGUGGCGCACGGGUGCGUAACGCGUGGGAACCUGCCCUUAGGUUCGGAAUAACCCCCCGAAAGGGGUGCUAAUACCGGUUAAUGUCUUCGGACCAAAGAUUUAUCGCCUUUGGAUGGGCCCGCGUUGGAUUAGCUGGUUGGUAGGGUAAAAGCCUACCAAGGCGACGAUCCAUAGCUGGUCUGAGAGGAUGAUCAGCCACACUGGGACUGAGACACGGCCCAGACUCCUACGGGAGGCAGCAGUGGGGAAUAUUGGACAAUGAGCGAAAGCCUGAUCCAGCAAUGCCGCGUGAGUGAUGAAGGCCUUAGGGUUGUAAAGCUCUUUUACCCGGGAUGAUAAUGACAGUACCGGGAGAAUAAGCUCCGGCUAACUCCGUG
RNAcentral lists this ribosomal RNA (433 nucleotides) under uncultured bacterium. RNAcentral's name for it is "partial 16S ribosomal RNA". It matches the Rfam family "Bacterial small subunit ribosomal RNA", at positions 29 to 507 of the family's 1533-position model. The record is from RNAcentral.